Molecule: long non-coding RNA, 583 nt
Filed under: Chlamydomonas reinhardtii
Lineage: Eukaryota; Viridiplantae; Chlorophyta; Chlorophyceae; Chlamydomonadales; Chlamydomonadaceae
Description: long non-coding RNA (CREI_LNC001320)
Source: RNAcentral
GGAGUUUGGAAGUCGCAUUGCAGGCGUGGGUUGGCCAUGGAGUUGCGCAGAGUGGGUGUUGUUGGCGCCACCGCGUCAUGUGUCACGGCGCCAUCGCGCCUGAGUGCAGGUGAUUUCAAAAGACGUUAUAGGAGGGGCAGGCGGCGUGGGCAGGCGGGUACAGCUACCAAAUGACGGAACUGGGUAGGCAGGAAAGUAGGAACGAGCGGCAGGUACGCUGCUGACAUGGUACCACGCUAGUGUUGGCGUGCACUUCUGACGUGGGUCUGUAGGUAACUUGGCACGCUCCAUAUUGAUUUUUCGUGACCCUUGAACCUGUUUAGUGAGACGAGUGUGACUGUCUAUGAGUUGCCCAUGGCACGUGUGUCCACCUGCGUGUUCCAACGUAGCGUCAGGCAAAUUAGAGUACGUUCUGUACUAUCCCCAUCACAAUCCCAUGCACGCCUUCGCGCAUGCAACUUCACCCCUCAUGCGCUGACGUCUUAAGUCUUCUGUUGUUUUUGCGGGGGAUACAUGGUACACCACGUUCGGUUUUCCGUGCCGACACAGUUGGGUGCCGCGUAGUUAUUGUCAUCAUGCGCAC